GCAGGGUGAUCCAGAGUGUCCCCCGUUGUCUGCCGGAGGCAGAGCCGUACUCCUCGCGAGCACGGACCAGCGGCGGUUGGAGUGGAGCCAUAAGGCUGGCCUGGACGGUACGUCGGGUCGGGCCUGCCCGCUCGACGACUUAUAGACUGGCUUCCCGGUGCUCGACUCCGACCGAGGAAGGAGGGCAGCUUUUGCCCGGUGUGGUGCACGCCGUAUGGCGGGGCCUCCCGCCGAGGGCGAGCCGCACUUUGUGGACUGCAUGCAGUGCUCACUGUGACGGCGGACCCACGGUCGGUGAGCGUCACUUGUGCACCAGUGCUGCUGGUAUUGGGAC
RNAcentral lists this unclassified non-coding RNA (334 nucleotides) under Dysidea cf. arenaria AG-2019. RNAcentral's name for it is "sequence contains 28S rRNA gene". The record is from RNAcentral. Lineage: Eukaryota; Metazoa; Porifera; Demospongiae; Dictyoceratida; Dysideidae.